ACUUUACAAUGCGGGAAACCGCGAUAAGGGGAUACUGAGUGCCAGCAUCUUAUGUUGGCUGUCCGCAUGUAUAAAUAGCAUGUGUUAGCAAGGGCCGGGCAAGACCGGUGCCAGCCGCCGCGGUAACACCGGCGGCCCGAGUGGUGGCCACUAUUAUUGGGUCUAAAGGGUCCGUAGCCGGUUCGAUCAGUCUUCCGGGAAAUCUGACAGCUCAACUGUUAGGCUUCCGGGGGAUACUGUCGGACUUGGGACCGGGAGAGGUAAGAGGUACUACAGGGGUAGGAGUGAAAUCUUGUAAUCCUUGUGGGACCACCAGUGGCGAAGGCGUCUUACCAGAACGGGUCCGACGGUGAGGGACGAAAGCUGGGGGCACGAACCGGAUUAGAUACCCGGGUAGUCCCAGCCGUAAACGAUGCUCGCUAGGUGUCUGGGACGGUGCGACCGUUUCAGGUGCCGCAGGGAAGCCGUGAAGCGAGCCACCUGGGAAGUACGGCCGCAAGGCUGAAACUUAA
RNAcentral lists this ribosomal RNA (512 nucleotides) under uncultured Methanolobus sp. Its description in RNAcentral is "bacterial SSU rRNA". It matches the Rfam family "Archaeal small subunit ribosomal RNA", at positions 347 to 859 of the family's 1478-position model. Lineage: Archaea; Methanobacteriati; Methanobacteriota; Methanomicrobia; Methanosarcinales; Methanosarcinaceae. The record is from RNAcentral.